AGAAACUUAAGUUAUAUUAAACUAGGAACCUUCAAAGCUCCAAAUAAAGCACUACUUUAGUUUCUGCC
Molecule: transfer RNA, 68 nt
Filed under: Protobothrops maolanensis (Mao-lan pitviper)
Lineage: Eukaryota; Metazoa; Chordata; Lepidosauria; Squamata; Viperidae
Description: tRNA-Trp
Source: RNAcentral